CCUACGGGAGGCAGCAGUGGGGAAUAUUGGACAAUGGGCGAAAGCCUGAUCCAGCAAUGCCGCGUGAGUGAUGAAGGCCUUCGGGUCGUAAAGCUCUUUUACCAGGGAUGAUAAUGACAGUACCUGGAGAAUAAGCUCCGGCUAACUCCGUGCCAGCAGCCGCGGUAAUACGGAGGGAGCUAGCGUUGUUCGGAAUUACUGGGCGUAAAGAGUACGUAGGCGGUUAUUCAAGUCAGAGGUGAAAGCCCGGGGCUCAACCCCGGAACUGCCUUUGAAACUAGAUAACUAGAGUCUUGGAGAGGUUAGUGGAAUUCCGAGUGUAGAGGUGAAAUUCGUAGAUAUUCGGAAGAACACCAGUGGCGAAGGCGACUAACUGGACAAGUACUGACGCUGAGGUACGAAAGCGUGGGGAGCAAACAGGAUUAGAUACCCUGGUAGUCCACGCCGUAAACGAUGAUAACUAGUUGUUCGGUCACUUGGUGACUGAGUGACGCAGCUAACGCAUUAAGUUAUCCGCCUGGGGAUACGGUCGCAAGNUUAAAACCGUGAAAGAUUGACGGNUGAAGAGUGCGAGCGACGACGAGGGAGAGG
RNAcentral lists this ribosomal RNA (591 nucleotides) under uncultured bacterium. RNAcentral's name for it is "bacterial SSU rRNA". It matches the Rfam family "Bacterial small subunit ribosomal RNA", at positions 338 to 946 of the family's 1533-position model. The record is from RNAcentral.